This 442-nucleotide ribosomal RNA is filed under the name uncultured bacterium. Its description in RNAcentral is "partial 16S ribosomal RNA". It matches the Rfam family "Bacterial small subunit ribosomal RNA", at positions 338 to 795 of the family's 1533-position model. The record is from RNAcentral.
CCUACGGGUGGCAGCAGUGGGGAAUAUUGGGCAAUGGGCGCAAGCCUGACCCAGCAACGCCGCGUGAAGGAAGAAGGCUUUCGGGUUGUAAACUUCUUUUAAGAGGGAAGAGCAGAAGACGGUAACUCGUGAAUAAGCCACGGCUAACUACGUGCCAGCAGCCGCGGUAAUACGUAGGUGGCAAGCGUUUUUCGGAUGUACUGGGGGGAAAGGGCGGGUAGCCGGGCUGACAAGUCAGAUGUGAAAUCCGGGGGCUCCACCCCCGAACUGCAUUUGAAACUGUUGGGCUUGAGUAGCGGAGAGGCAGGCGGAAUUCCUAGUGUAGCGGUGAAAUGCGUAGAUAUUAGGAGGAACACCAGUGGCGAAGGCGGCCUGCUGGACGACAACUGACGGUGAGGCGCGAAAGCGUGGGGAGCAAACAGGAUUAGAUACCCGGGUAGUC